Molecule: long non-coding RNA, 1288 nt
Organism: Lycium ferocissimum
Lineage: Eukaryota; Viridiplantae; Streptophyta; Magnoliopsida; Solanales; Solanaceae
Exons: 3
Source: RefSeq, a predicted model, not a curated record
UUCUCCAAUCAUCAGAAAAGAAGUUUUAAAAAGAAAAUGAUUUCAAAUCGUCAAUGGAUGUACAAAAGGUUAACUAAAGGUCUGGAUAAUCCAAAAUUCAUACGGGGCGCAGAGCAAUUUAUUGAGUUCAAAAUAAAUCACCCGCAAUACAAAGUUGUAGAUAUCAACCAUAGAAGGAAAUUUAAAAGAGUAUGAACUUAAGAGACGAGGAUGAUGAUUUAGACGAUGAGGUAGAAUUUCAUGACAAAUCUAGAUUAAAUAUGGAUUAAGAUGAUGAUAAUGAGGCAUAUUAUGCAAGUGCAGUAGAGUUAAAGUGCUCUAAUCUCUUCAAAUAGAAGAGUUAAACAUAGUCUAUAAGUUGUUUUAACUAUUGAAUUUUAUAUUUCUUACUGACAAAGUUCUAUUUUAGAUCUCGUCGAUUUUACAUUUCUUUGUGACCAAUUUAAGUAUUUGUAUUUAAUAGUUUGUUUGUUUGAACGAUUGUCCCUUGCUCUUAUUUUUAUGAGAGAAGUAGCUGAUUCUGGAACUACAUGAAGCGCAAACAUAUCCCGGUAUCUAUUUGGGAAAGCUACAAGCCUCACUGGAGACGGAGGAAUUUAAAGCCAAAUCCGCACAAUGUUCAAAAAAUCGACUAAGCGAGAAAGGUGGCAAAGGAUCUGGCCCCUCACGCCAUACGGGAGGCUCCAGAACUCACCGAGAACAUGCAAAACUACUGGCCAAACAACUAGGAAGACCACCUCAUCCACAUGAGCUUCUAAAGAAGACACAUCUCAAGGCUAACAAUGAGUUUGUGGACCAGAAGUCUAAAAGCACAUAUUUGGCGGGGCUAAGAAGACGCGUAUUUAUGGUCUUGGUUUUCUCAAGCACCGUGUUGGUGCAUCAUCCUCUUCAACAUCUCAACCUCUAGAUCUAGACUUUGAUGCUUGGGUGACUGAAUGUGUCGGACAACGUAUGCAAGAAAUGAAGGAAGAGAUGAAGAAUGAGACGAGAGCAGAGAUUAGACAAGAAAUGGGAGAAGAAAUGCGACAAGAAUUGCGUGAAGAAAUGAGACAUGAAGUGCAACAAGUGGUGCAAGAGCAAGUUUGAUCAAAUACUCCAAGCACUCAUGUCGCUCAUCCUAGGUGGCUUACCUACACCUCCUUCUCGUAGACGUGACUCGUCGUCAAAUAAUGACAAGAGUCUUAUUUAGAUUUAUUUUAGAGUCUUUUACGUUAGAUACAUUUUGGAUUGUUUAUUAACUUUAUGAUGGAUGUUAUUGUUUAUAAAAUAGCUACUGUUUUUUGUUUUA